UUCCGGUUGAUCCNGCCGGACCUGACUGCUAUCGGAUUGAUACUAAGCCAUGCGAGUCAUUGUAGCAAUACAAGGCAGACGGCUCAGUAACGCGUAGUCAACCUACCCUAUGGACGGGAAUAACCUCGGGAAACUGAGAAUAAUGCCCGAUAGAACACUAUGCCUGGAAUGGUUUGUGUUCCAAAUGAUUUAUUGCCAUAGGAUGGGACUGCGGCCUAUCAGUUUGUUGGAGAGGUAAUGGCCCACCAAGACUAUUACAGGUACGGGCUCUGAGAGGAGUGGCCCGGAGAUGGGUACUGAGACACGGACCCAGGCCCUAUGGGGCGCAGCAGGCGAGAAAACUUUGCAAUGUGCGAAAGCACGACAAGGUUAAUCCGAGUGGUUUCUGCUAAAGGAACCUUUUGACGGUCCUAAAAACACUGUUGAAUAAGGGGUGGGCAAGUUCUGGUGUCAGCCGCCGCGGUAAAACCAGCACCUCAAGUGGUCAGGAUGAUUAUUGGGCCUAAAGCAUCCGUAGCCGGCUCUGUAAGUUUUCGGUUAAAUCUGUACGCUCAACGUACAGGCUGCUGGGAAUACUGCAGAGCUAGGGAGUGGGAGAGGUAGACGGUACUCGGGAGGAAGUGGUAAAAUGCUUUGAUCUCUCGAUGACCACCUGUGGCGAAGGCGGUCUACCAGAACACGUCCGACGGUGAGGGAUGAAAGCUGGGGGAGCAAACCGGAUUAGAUACCCGGGUAGUCCCAGCUGUAAACUAUGCAAACUCAGUGAUGCGUUGGCUUAUGGCCAGCGCAGUGUUGCAGGGAAGCCGUUAAGUUUGCCGCCUGGGAAGUACGUACGCAAGUAUGAAACUUAAAGGAAUUGGCGGGGGAGCACCACAAGGGGUGAAGCCUGCGGUUCAAUUGGAUUCAACGCCGG
RNAcentral lists this ribosomal RNA (913 nucleotides) under uncultured crenarchaeote. Its description in RNAcentral is "bacterial SSU rRNA". It matches the Rfam family "Archaeal small subunit ribosomal RNA", at positions 1 to 921 of the family's 1478-position model. The record is from RNAcentral. Lineage: Archaea; Thermoproteati; Thermoproteota.